RNAcentral lists this ribosomal RNA (486 nucleotides) under uncultured bacterium. RNAcentral describes it as "partial 16S ribosomal RNA". It matches the Rfam family "Bacterial small subunit ribosomal RNA", at positions 30 to 507 of the family's 1533-position model. The record is from RNAcentral.
AUUGAACGCUGGCGGCAUGCCUUACACAUGCAAGUCGAGCGGCAGCACGGGUGCUUGCACCUGGUGGCGAGUGGCGAACGGGUGAGUAAUACAUCGGAACAUGUCCUGUAGUGGGGGAUAGCCCGGCGAAAGCCGGAUUAAUACCGCAUACGAUCCACGGAUGAAAGCGGGGGACCUUCGGGCCUCGCGCUAUAGGGUUGGCCGAUGGCUGAUUAGCUAGUUGGUGGGGUAAAGGCCUACCAAGGCGACGAUCAGUAGCUGGUCUGAGAGGACGACCAGCCACACUGGGACUGAGUCACGGCCCAGACUCCUACGGGAGGCAGCAGUGGGGAAUUUUGGACAAUGGGCGAAAGCCUGAUCCAGCAAUGCCGCGUGUGUGAAGAAGGCCUUCGGGUUGUAAAGCACUUUUGUCCGGAAAGAAAUCCUUGACUCUAAUACAGUCGGGGGAUGACGGUACCGGAAGAAUAAGCACCGGCUAACUACGUG